This 433-nucleotide ribosomal RNA is filed under the name uncultured bacterium. Its description in RNAcentral is "partial 16S ribosomal RNA". It matches the Rfam family "Bacterial small subunit ribosomal RNA", at positions 29 to 507 of the family's 1533-position model. The record is from RNAcentral.
AAUGAACGCUGGCGGCAUGCCUAACACAUGCAAGUCGAACGAGACCUGCGGGCUUAGUGGCGCACGGGUGGGUAACGGGUGGGAACCUGCCUUUAGGUUUGGAAUAACUCGCCGAAAGGGGUGCUAAUACCGGAUAAUGUCUCCGGACCAAAGGUUUAUCGCGUUUGGAUGGGCCCGCGUUGGAUUAGCUAGUUGGUAGGGUAAAAGCCUACCAAGGCGACGAUCCAUAGCUGGUUAGAGAGGAUGGUCAGCCACACUGGGGCUGGGACACGGCCCAGACUCCUGCGGGAGGCAGCAGUGGGUAAUAUUGGACAGUGGGCGGAGGCCUGAUCCAGCUAUGCCGCGUGAGUGAUGAAGGCCUUGGGGUUGUAAAGCUCUUUUACCCGGGAUGAUAAUGACGGUACCGGGAGAAUAAGCUCCGGCUAACUCCGUG